This 125-nucleotide small RNA is filed under the name Marmota monax (woodchuck). Lineage: Eukaryota; Metazoa; Chordata; Mammalia; Rodentia; Sciuridae. The record is from RNAcentral.
GCUGGGCACUGUGGCGGAUGCCCAUAAUUCCAGCAGCUCAGGAGGCUGAGGCAGGAGGAUAGCGAGUUCAAAGCCAGCCUAAGCAAUGAUGAGGGGCUAAGCAACUCAGCAAGACCCUGUCUCUA